UUUGCGAGGCUCGUCUCAUUUUAUUAAUUAAAGAACUAACCUAAAGAAACUAUGAUUUUCUAUAUUUUUUGUUUCUAAGAAUAAAGAAAAAGAUGCCCUAAAUAAUUGGAGUUACUCAAACAAAACAUAUUAAUAAGGACCCUUUAGCAAUUCUGGGCUCAAGUAAUAGGCCCAAUCCCUGAUGAAUUGAAACCACCCAGCGAUUUGGGCCUUGAGAACAUAUUGCCCAGCCUGAGUUCCCAUUGCAUAACGUGAGCCCAACCUUGUGCUCAGAUUGGCCCGUUAGAAAAAAUCAGGCGAGAUCAAUAGCAGUAUUGACAUAUUCAUGUUAUAAUUUAGGGUCUAAGUUUAGGUGAACACACAUGUGAUGCACUUAACAUGCUGAGUUUGAAAUUCUACACUAAUUCUAUGCUAAUAACGUUCAGCCCAGUUUUGCUUCAGUUCCUGGCUAAUAAUACUUCCUAACUGAUGUUGUAAUUGACAUUUACUAAUUAUUCACAAUUAUUCAAAUAUCCAAUUAUCAACUAAAGAUGGAAGUCCAGAAUCAAUUUCCAAACUUAUGUCUUUUAACAUAGUUAAUCAACAAACUAUUCUAGGCUAAUUAGUGAUAAGCAAAUCCAACAGUCAAAUUACACGUCUAGCUCUAAACUAACUCACAAUUACAAUUACUAAAUACAAACAAUGUGACUCCAGGAUUACACUGCCAAUUAUUAAGAUGAGUGAGGACUGUGAAUCACAAUCGCUUUAUGCUUUGACUAACUUCUGAUUUUCAAAACUUAACUACACCAAAUGAAAUUAAACUACAACAUGUUUAACAAAUGAUCAAAUUUCCCAAACAGUCCAUGAGUUUGACAGUCCAAACAAAUCUAAAUCAUUGUAAAACAAUUUUAAUUAUAGUCCAAACUACUACAAUCAACUAUGGUAAAACACGGCAAUAACUUAAGCUUCCAAUGAAGUUAUACUUCUAUUUCACUUAAUUCCAACUGGAGAGCUACAUGAUUUGAGAUUAAGGACAUGUACCUAAUAUUUAAACCACAAAACAAAGAAGAAUUGGAAGUCAGCUGAAGCAACGCACGUGUAGCAGUAGCAGUAAGUAAUUUUCAGCAGUACAGAAUAACAAACAGCCCAAAAAAUAAAUCCAGAAAUUCUAGGAAGGUUCAGAACUCAAAUAAAACCAGCUGAUUAAACCAAAACACUUGAAAUGCACUUAGUUAUACUAGAAAGGCAUUAACACACUUUCACAUAACCAAAUCUCAAUAAAACACAAUCUAAUUAGACCCAAAAAUUGCUCGAAAUCACCUAGCAACCAUUCUAAACAUCAGCAAUCAAAGAGUGAACUAGAGGAUGUGAACUAAUAAUUAAAACAUCAAUAUCAGCCUACAAUUUCCAAUGCAACAAUGAUAUUUUUUGAUUUUUGAGUUUUUGUUUGUUUUUGGUUUUUUGAAAUUUGAAUUUCUACUCCAGAUCUGAAAAUUUGAGAGAGAGAGAGAGAGAGAGUUUUUUGAAGGAAUUAGAUGGCUGAAGACUUGCUAGAGAAGGCAAGUAACUUGCCUUUUAUAGGCACACAUGAAAGCCUCAAUCAGAUUUUCUGUUUUCUUUUUUAGUCCCUCUCAUUUUCCGUUUGAGUCCUUGAUUUCUUAACUUUUCACUCAAGUAACUACCUCUAUUAUGCUGAAACUUACACUAAAGUCCAAUUCUAGAAGGUCCUAUUGUGGUCUUCUACCUAUGCAAUACCUAUACUACCCUUAUUUUUGUUUAUAAAUUACUAUUCUUAACAAAACUACCUUUUUGCAUGCCUAAACUAACCCUGAAAAUUCCCUGAAAUUACUGACCAAUCAGACUCCUUUUACCUUUGUUAAUCUUCAACUAUGGUUAACUAAAAUGAUCUAACCUAUCCAGCAAUAAGCAAAGUAAUUCCCAAAAACUAUAAUAUUGAAUCCACUGAUACUAAUUGAAACUGAAAAUGAGUCAUCACUAGACUAAUUACACUAAGCAAUCAAAGAACAAAAACUAAUACUUGAGAUAACUAAUCAAGAGGUUAAAAUAAAUUGCAAUAAACAAUUACGAAUCAAUAAUCUAACACAGAAUCAGAAUGGAUUAAUAUGACGACUAAGAACAGUAUUUCCAAGAGAACCUUAGCGAAUAAACAAAACUUGAUUAAACCCUUAACAUGGCAUUCAAAAUAAAAUAGAACUAAACUAACUAACACCCCAAAUGCAUUCAAUUAGCAAGUUUAAAUAAAACUAAACUAGAAGCUAAACCUAUGACCAUAGAAGAAUGAAAUCAAAACUAGAGAAAACUUUAUUAAAUUCAGAUUAAAGCUUACUAACAACUAAGAUAAUAUCAAAAGAAAAGAGGGAAACAAACAGACGAACUCACUGAUGAAAAUUCCCAAACUGGUGAAUUCCUAGACUUGAAAUUAGUCCACUUCCGGUGAUACUUGAAUAUCAUUUCCGCUGAACUCUUCACGAAGAAGACGGGGGAUUAUCAUAAUGUCCAUUUAUCAAAGUUUUGGGAGAUUAGGAAUUUUGUCCGAAAAUUCGAUUUAAGAUUCGAGGUGCUUCAGGCAUAUUCCAAGAAAAAUAGUCAUGGAUUUGGAUAGGGGAAGGGGAGAAUGACCUAGGGUAUUAAUCUGGGCGAGUUUGGAUGAAAUUGCGUCGUGGACGGAAAAACUUCGAUGUGAUAUUCCAAGAUUUCGGCCAAGAUUUGAAGGAAAUGGAUGAUGGAUUAAAGGAUAGGAAGAGAAGAGGAGUAUAGGGUGUUAAUUUGGUGGCAUUCGUAGGUGGACCACCGUCGUGGGCGAAUUCCGGCAGCGGCAAGCGGUGGUGUUUCACAGAGGCUAAGUACGAGGAAGAUGAAGACUGUCUUAGGGUUUUUUUCUGAAAUUCAGACAGUUUAAAUUAAAUGAGGGAGAGAAUAGGGGCCCUUGGAUUAGGUAAAAAU
This 2943-nucleotide long non-coding RNA is filed under the name Nicotiana benthamiana. Its description in RNAcentral is "long non-coding RNA (NBEN_LNC024855)". The record is from RNAcentral. Lineage: Eukaryota; Viridiplantae; Streptophyta; Magnoliopsida; Solanales; Solanaceae.